GACGAACGCUGGCGGCGUGCCUAAUACAUGCAAGUAGAACGCACAGUUUAUACCGUAGCUUGCUACACCAUAAACUGUGAGUUGUGAACGGGUGAGUAACGCGUAGGUAACCUGCCUGGUAGCGGGGGAUAACUAUUGGAAACGAUAGCUAAUACCGCAUAAUAUUAAUUAUUGCAUGAUAAUUGAUUGAAAGAUGCAAUUGCAUCACUACCAGAUGGACCUGCGUUGUAUUAGCUAGUAGGUGAGGUAACGGCUCACCUAGGCGACGAUACAUAGCCGACCUGAGAGGGUGAUCGGCCACACUGGGACUGAGACACGGCCCAGACUCCUACGGGAGGCAGCAGUAGGGAAUCGUCGGCAAUGGACGAAAGUCUGACCGAGCAACGCCGCGUGAGUGAAGAAGGUUUUCGGAUCGUAAAGCUCUGUUGUAAGAGAAGAACGGGUGUGAGAGUGGAAAGUUCACACUGUGACGGUAUCUUACCAGAAAGGGACGGCUAACUACGUG
Molecule: ribosomal RNA, 505 nt
Filed under: uncultured bacterium
Lineage: Bacteria
Description: partial 16S ribosomal RNA
Rfam family: Bacterial small subunit ribosomal RNA
Source: RNAcentral